UGGGAAGCUAGACCGAAGAUGGUGAUAGUCCAGUAAGACGUAAAAAUAUUUAAAUAUGCAAACCACCCGAGUAGCGUCAAGCACGAGGAAUUUGGCGUGAAUCAGCGUGGACCAAAUCACGUAAGGCUAAAUACUUUUGUUAACCGAUAGAGAAGAGUACCGUGAGGGAAAGGUGAAAAGAACCCUGAGUAAGGGAGUGAAAGAGAAUUUGAAACCGUGUGCUUACAAGCGGUAGGAGCCAGAGAUGGUGACUGCGUGGAUUUUGGUUAAUCAUCCUGCGAGUUAUAUUAUGUGGCGAGGUUAAGGAAGACGGAGCCGAAGGGAAACCGAGUGUGAAUAGUGCGAAGAGUCAUAUGAUAUAGACGCGAAACCUAGUGAUCUAUGCCUGUCCAGGUUGAAGCUUGGGUAAGACCAAGUGGAGGACCGAACUCACCGCCGUUGAAAAGAUGGGAGAUGAGAUAGGUAUAGGGGUGAAAAGCCAAUCGAACUAGGAGAUAGCUCGUUCUCUCCGAAAUGCAUUUAGGUGCAGCCUUAAGGGAAGAUAUAUGGGGGUAGAGCACUGUAUGGUCUAGGGGGCGUAUAGCUUACCGAAAUCAAGCAAACUUCGAAUACCAUAUAUUAAUACCUAGGAGUGAGUCUAUGGAUGACAAGGUCCAUGGACGAGAGGGGAACAACCCAGACCACCAACUAAGGUCCCAAAUUAUGUCUAAGUGGGAAAGGAGGUGGAUAUUCAGAGACAACCAGGAGGUUGGCUUAGAAGCAGCCAUACCUUAAAAGAGUGCGUAAUAGCUCACUGGUCGAGAGUAUCUGCGCCGAAGAUGUAACGGGGCUAAGACAUAAACCGAAGUUGUGGAAGUACAAUGUACUUGGUAGGAGAGCGUUCUGUAGGCCGUAGAAGGAGUAUUGCAAGGUACUUUGGAGGUAUCAGAAGUGAGAAUGCAGGAAUGAGUAGCGAGAAGGUGGGUGAGAAUCCCACCGGCCGGAAGUCCAAGGUUUCCAGGGGAAGGUUUGUCCGCCCUGGGGGAGUCGGGACCUAAGCAAAAGGUGAGGACCGUAUGCGAAUGGAAAAUAGGUUAAUAUUCCUAUACCACUAUUAAUCGUUUGAGGAAUGGAGUAACGCAGGAAGGUAUGUGAGAUGACUGACGGAAUAGUCAUUCUAAGGGAGUAGCAUGGUAAUAAAGGCAAAUCCGUAUUACUAAAUGUGAGACCUGAUGGGUAAGCACUUAUGGUGUAAGUCACAAAUCCUACGCUGCCGAGAAAAACUUCUACCGAGAGAGAUAGUGCCCGUACUGUAAACCGACACAGGUGGACAGCAUGAGAAAUGUAAGGCCGACAGGCUAACUCUAGCUAAGGAACUCUGCAAAAUAGCCCCGUAACUUCGGGAGAAGGGGUGCCUAUGUUACUUGAGUGGAGAAACACCACAAGGGGAGAUAGGUCGCAGUGAAGAGUCUCAAGCAACUGUUUACCAAAAACACAGGUCUAUGCUAAGCUGAAAGGCGACGUAUAUGGGCUGACACCUGCCCAGUGCUGGAAGGUUAAGAGGAGGAUUGAGAGAUCCGAAUUGAAGCCCCAGUGAACGGCGGCCGUAACUAUAACGGUCCUAAGGUAGCGAAAUUCCUUGUCGGGUAAGUUCCGACCUGCACGAAUGGUGAAAUGAUUUGAGAGCUGUCUUGGCUGGAGGCCUGGUGAAGUUGUAAUGUCGGUGAAGAUACCGACUACCUGCAGUAGGACGGAAAGACCCCGUGGAGCUUUACUGUAGUUUGACAUUGGGUUUUGGCAAUGUGUGUAUAGGAUAGUUGGGAGACUGAGAUUGUAUGGCGUCAGUUAUACAGGAGUCGCUGUUGGAAUACCAACCAUAUAUUGUUGAAAUUCUAAUCUGGUAACGGAGACAGUGUUAGAUGGGCAGU
Molecule: ribosomal RNA, 1907 nt
Filed under: wallaby gut metagenome
Description: bacterial LSU rRNA
Rfam family: Bacterial large subunit ribosomal RNA
Source: RNAcentral